CCUACGGGAGGCAGCAGUGAGGAAUAUUGGUCAAUGGACGAGAGUCUGAACCAGCCAAGUAGCGUGAAGGAUGACUGCCCUAUGGGUUGUAAACUUCUUUUAUAUGGGAAUAAAACGUUCCACGUGUGGGAUUUUGUAUGUACCAUAUGAAUAAGCAUCGGCUAACUCCGUGCCAGCAGCCGCGGUAAUACGGAGGAUCCGAGCGUUAUCCGGAUUUAUUGGGUUUAAAGGGAGCGUAGGUGGAUUGUUAAGUCAGUUGUGAAAGUUUGCGGCUCAACCGUAAAAUUGCAGUUGAAACUGGCAGUCUUGAGUACAGUAGAGGUGGGCGGAAUUCGUGGUGUAGCGGUGAAAUGCUUAGAUAUCACGAAGAACUCCGAUUGCGAAGGCAGUUCACUGGACUGCAACUGACACUGAGGCUCGAAAGUGUGGGUAUCAAACAGGAUUAGAUACCCUAGUAGUC
Molecule: ribosomal RNA, 460 nt
Filed under: uncultured bacterium
Lineage: Bacteria
Description: partial 16S ribosomal RNA
Rfam family: Bacterial small subunit ribosomal RNA
Source: RNAcentral